Molecule: small nuclear RNA, 107 nt
Organism: Trichechus manatus latirostris (Florida manatee)
Lineage: Eukaryota; Metazoa; Chordata; Mammalia; Sirenia; Trichechidae
Source: RefSeq, a predicted model, not a curated record
GUGCUUGCUUUGGCAGCACAUAUACUAAAAUUGGAACCAUACAGAGAAGAUUAGCAUGGCAGCUCCAUAAGGAUACAAUGCAAAUUCGUGAAGUGUUCCAUAUUUUU